This is a long non-coding RNA of Tigriopus californicus, 454 nucleotides long. RefSeq lists it as uncharacterized. The transcript has 2 exons. NCBI's taxonomy places the organism in Eukaryota, Metazoa, Arthropoda, Copepoda, Harpacticoida, Harpacticidae. The record is from RefSeq and is a predicted model, not a curated record.
UGCUGUACCGUACAUCCGAUCCCGAGGGCGCGCGUUGGGCGCACCUUGUCGCGGGAGCGGAAAGCCAAGCCCAAACCUCAAGAUACUGAUGACGACGAUGACAUUGAUACUCAAGUUUCCGCAGUUUGAACCACCAGCCAGCCAUUCCUCUGCAUCCACUUCAUCCUUCUUCCUUUUUGUAUUGAUGUAUUUGCUACCAAACCAAUCAACCAAUCAACCGACAGACGCAACUCUAUUAUUACCUUGAACAACUUCAUGUGAUAGAACAUUUGUCGUUACAAGUAGUAACAGUAACAGAAAGAUUGAUGGCCCUUUUCAUACGCCUCAACAAUAAUGCAUUCUGAAUUACGAGCACGUCAACUCUUACACUCACACUUUCAGUAUGUCUACAACUACAGCUACAAAAAAUACAUAUUAUAAAUACAUUCAUACAUAUAUAAAUCAUAAAUAUUUA